GUCUUGUAAACCGGACGCCAGGGGUUAAAGUCCCCUCUACUGCU
RNAcentral lists this transfer RNA (44 nucleotides) under Siganus spinus (little spinefoot). Its description in RNAcentral is "partial tRNA-Thr". The record is from RNAcentral. Lineage: Eukaryota; Metazoa; Chordata; Actinopteri; Siganidae.